Molecule: non-coding RNA, 751 nt
Organism: Paramuricea clavata
Lineage: Eukaryota; Metazoa; Cnidaria; Anthozoa; Malacalcyonacea; Plexauridae
Source: the annotation of a GenBank genome assembly
UAGAUAACUGAUGAAAUGGAUGCUUUUCUUGUAAAUAGUUUGUAAAUAUGUUUUGAGUGUUGUUGUGUUAAAAGAGGCUAACUUCAGCUGUUGUUGUGUGUAAAAGAUGCUGAACUUAGUGGAAAAAAAUGGAGAAAAAAAUUGGAAAAUAAUGAGUGUAGCUGGUCUUCGGCAACAAGCAGAAUCCCGGGAGAUCAACGUUGAGUUGGAUGGUAUACAUUUGCAGUGAAAGAGAUGAAAUCGUUGUGGAGGAAAAGUUGUAAGGUAAAUUGAAUGUUAGCAUGAGAAACUGUUUCUGUAAAUACACUCUGCUACUGAUAAUAUGCUAUGACCUGUUUGUUUAAGUGCAUUUACACAAUAUGGCACCAAUUGGAAUUAGUAAAUGUAAUAAAUGUAGCAUACCAUAUGUAGCUGUUCUCAAUUAGCAAACAUACAUGAUAAACAGGAACACAGAUGGAAACUAUGAUAUUAUGUUUCAAUUCUGUAUAAUGUAUAUUAUAUAUGUUUCAAUACGAUGUAUUAUAUGUGAUCCAUUUGUGGUAAAAUACUGUACAAUUUAAAACAAAUUUUAUUUUUUUAUUUUUCAUCUGGGGUCUAACUUCAGCUGUUGUUGUGUGUAAAAGAUGCUGAACUUAGUGGAACAAAAUUGGAAAAUAAUGAGUGUAGCUGGUCUUCGGCAACAAGCAGAAUCCCGGGAGAUCAACGUUGAGUUGGAUGGUAUACAUUUGCAGUGAAAGAGAUGAAAUCGUUG